Molecule: long non-coding RNA, 426 nt
Organism: Helicoverpa armigera (cotton bollworm)
Lineage: Eukaryota; Metazoa; Arthropoda; Insecta; Lepidoptera; Noctuidae
Exons: 2
Source: RefSeq, a predicted model, not a curated record
UUGAGACAUGCGCGGUCGAUACAAUCAUGUUUGAUUGAAUUUUGGUACUAGGGAGCUUUUUAUAAGUGAACUAUUUCCUAAUUAAUUGAUAGAUAAGUCUGUAUUUAUAACAAUAAUAGUUUUGUGUGUAUUUUCUAUAGACUAAAAAACAUGGACAGAAUGCAGUUUGCGAUUUUCUUCUAUCUUCACAAUGUGUGCAACCGAUUACACCGGACACAGAAUAAACUGUUCAAGAAAAUAAAAACCCGCUGGGGUGAGAGUCCACCGGACACAUCUCCUAAAUAAACGAACAGAAAAUAAACAGUAGCUUACAUACAUAUUCAAAAGCUUAUAAUAACGGAUAACUUUUCCAUUCAACUACAAUCUAGAGUUUUCUACACUGGUAAUAAAAGUGCCAAAAUGAAAUAAAAAACAAGUUCUAAGUUA